RNAcentral lists this long non-coding RNA (766 nucleotides) under Taeniopygia guttata (zebra finch). RNAcentral describes it as "lncRNA (ENSTGUG00000021152.1)". Lineage: Eukaryota; Metazoa; Chordata; Aves; Passeriformes; Estrildidae. The record is from RNAcentral.
CUCAGGGAAAAUGGUGAACACGGAAGAUCCCAAGAUGAAAUACACUGAAAUGGAAUAUAUUGGCAAGGGGCAUUUUGGAUCUGUGGUUAGAGCACUCAACAAAGCCACGGGAGGAGAGGUGGCCAUAAAGAAAAUAAGACUUAACGGAUGGCAGAGAAAGCAACUAGCUGUUAAUGAAAUCGAAAUCAUGAAGAAGCAUAGGAGUCCCAGUGUUGUGAAUUACUUAGAUAGGUGAGUGGCCAUGGUCUUAUCCCAUGAAUAUGCACGUACAUACCACACACAUGAGAGGUUAAAAAUCCACUUUGGUCACUUCUAGAAAGUAGAGCUGUUAAUUAUUAUGUAUUAAUAUUUCUCUGCUCAUCUCCAAUGGAUGAGAAGAGAGUGCAUCUUGCCUGCAUGAGUAUUCCCUGGAACAUGUAGUUUGAAAAUUAUUCCAAAAUUAUUCAAAACCUGGAUCAGCUGUAUCUUACAAAGUUAAUACCUUCUAAAUUCACUGCCUCCACAUUCAUUGGGAUUGAUUUUUUAAAGUUUCUUCAAUGCUGAAUGAUGAACCAUCCUAAAGUGGAUUUCCCUUGGAUUGUUGCCCCUCUUUUCCAUUGCUAUGCAUGCCAGGAAGACUAGGUGCUUAUUUCCAGAAACAGCAUUUGUGACAGGAUUUUAUCUGGGCUCUUACUAAACUUCACUUUUCACUUGCUGGCCAUCUAAGACAUCUCCUUUUUCACAGCUGUGCCUUUCUCCCUGAGGCUGCACAGAUUGCAAACAAAGC